RNAcentral lists this ribosomal RNA (434 nucleotides) under uncultured Clostridium sp. Its description in RNAcentral is "partial 16S ribosomal RNA". It matches the Rfam family "Bacterial small subunit ribosomal RNA", at positions 341 to 792 of the family's 1533-position model. The record is from RNAcentral. Lineage: Bacteria; Bacillati; Bacillota; Clostridia; Eubacteriales; Clostridiaceae.
ACGGGAGGCAGCAGUGGGGAAUAUUGGACAAUGGGGGAAACCCUGAUCCAGCGACGCCGCGUGAGUGAAGAAGUAUUUCGGUAUGUAAAGCUCUAUCAGCAGGGAAGAAAAUGACGGUACCUGACUAAGAAGCCCCGGCUAACUACGUGCCAGCAGCCGCGGUAAUACGUAGGGGGCAAGCGUUAUCCGGAUUUACUGGGUGUAAAGGGAGCGUAGACGGCAUGACAAGUCUGAAGUGAAAUCCCCGGGCUCAACCCGGGAACUGCUUUGGAAACUGCCAAGCUAGAGUGCAGGAGGGGCAAGCGGAAUUCCUAGUGUAGCGGUGAAAUGCGUAGAUAUUAGGAGGAACACCGGUGGCGAAGGCGGCUUGCUGGACUGUAACUGACGUUGAGGCUCGAAAGCGUGGGGAGCAAACAGGAUUAGAUACCCUGGUA